RNAcentral lists this ribosomal RNA (506 nucleotides) under uncultured bacterium. RNAcentral describes it as "partial 16S ribosomal RNA". It matches the Rfam family "Bacterial small subunit ribosomal RNA", at positions 29 to 523 of the family's 1533-position model. The record is from RNAcentral.
AGUGAACGCUGGCGGCAGGCCUAACACAUGCAAGUCGAACGGCAGCACAGGAGAGCUUGCUCUCUGGGUGGCGAGUGGCGGACGGGUGAGGAAUAUAUCGGAAUCUACCCUUUCGUGGGGGAUAACGUAGGGAAACUUACGCUAAUACCGCAUACGAACUGAGGUUGAAAGCGGCGGACCGCAAGGCGUCGCGCGGAUGGUUGAGCCGAUAUCCGAUUAGCUAGUUGGCGGGGUAAAAGCCCACCAAGGCGACGAUCGGUAGCUGGUCUGAGAGGAUGAUCAGCCACACUGGAACUGAGACACGGUCCAGACUCCUACGGGAGGCAGCAGUGGGGAAUAUUGGACAAUGGGGGCAACCCUGAUCCAGCCAUGCCGCGUGUGUGAAGAAGGCCUUUUGGUUGUAAAGCACUUUAAGCAGGGAGGAAGAGCAGCUAGUGAUAACCUAGCUGUGGUGACGUUACCUGCAGAAUAAGCACCGGCUAACUCUGUGCCAGCAGCCGCCGUAA